This 246-nucleotide ribosomal RNA is filed under the name uncultured bacterium. RNAcentral's name for it is "partial 16S ribosomal RNA". It matches the Rfam family "Bacterial small subunit ribosomal RNA", at positions 92 to 334 of the family's 1533-position model. The record is from RNAcentral.
UUAGUGGCGAACGGGUGAGUAAUACGUGAGUAACCUACCUUUAACUCUGGGAUAAGCCCGGGAAACUGGGUCUAAUACCGGAUACGACCAAUCUCCGCAUGGGGUGUUGGUGGAAAGCGUUAUGUAGUGAUUAUAGAUGGGCUCACGGCCUAUCAGCUUGUUGGUGAGGUAACGGCUCACCAAGGCGACGACGGGUAGCCGGCCUGAGAGGGUGACCGGCCACACUGGGACUGAGACACGGCCCAG